CUUUUAAGCAAACCGUGUCUUAAUAUCAUUCUAUUCUAUGAACGGUUGCUAACAUAUUUUAAAAAGUAGCGAAUAGCGAUUCGCUGUUUGAAAAGUAGUCAACUACUUAGCUACUUUUAGGCAAAAUGUAGUUCGCUAUAACUACAACUACUGUUUUAAAAAAGUAGUCAAAAACUACUGGCUACUUGAAAAUUGUAGUUCGCUACAGUAGCGAACUACAACUACUUCGCUACUACCCACCCUUGAUAAAAGUA
This is a non-coding RNA of Paramuricea clavata, 254 nucleotides long. NCBI's taxonomy places the organism in Eukaryota, Metazoa, Cnidaria, Anthozoa, Malacalcyonacea, Plexauridae. The record is from the annotation of a GenBank genome assembly.